UUGUUGCCAGCGGUCCGGCCGGGAACUCAAAGGAGACUGCCAGUGAUAAACUGGAGGAAGGUGGGGAUGACGUCAAGUCAUCAUGGCCCUUACGAGUAGGGCUACACACGUGCUACAAUGGCGCAUACAAAGAGAAGCGACCUCGCGAGAGCAAGCGGACCUCAUAAAGUGCGUCGUAGUCCGGAUUGGAGUCUGCAACUCGACUCCAUGAAGUCGGCCGUAGUCGCAGAAUGCUACGGUGAAUACGUUCCCGGGCCUUGUACACCCCCCGUCACACCAUGGGAGUGGGUUGCAAAAGAAGUAGGUAGCUUAACCUUCGGGAGGGCGCUUACCACUUUGUGAUUCAUGACUGGGGUGAAGUCGUAACAAGGUAACCGUAGGGGAACCUGCGGUUGGAUCACCUCCUUACCUUAAAGAA
RNAcentral lists this ribosomal RNA (418 nucleotides) under Lelliottia nimipressuralis. RNAcentral's name for it is "bacterial SSU rRNA". It matches the Rfam family "Bacterial small subunit ribosomal RNA", at positions 1112 to 1533 of the family's 1533-position model. RNAcentral also lists the same sequence under 1 other name. The record is from RNAcentral. Lineage: Bacteria; Pseudomonadati; Pseudomonadota; Gammaproteobacteria; Enterobacterales; Enterobacteriaceae.